Long non-coding RNA from Cyprinus carpio (common carp), 1131 nucleotides. The record is from Ensembl. NCBI's taxonomy places the organism in Eukaryota, Metazoa, Chordata, Actinopteri, Cypriniformes, Cyprinidae.
GCCUUAUUUAUCAACUCAUCUGUCAGUUUGAAAUAUAUUCUGGCCAUAAUCAAUGUUUAGUAAAACACUGUUUUCAACAAACUGCUGUUGUCUAAAGUGCGCCUCACUACAAGAGCAAAAUAUCAAGACAUUUCCACAUUGAUCCUGCUGUAAUCAAUCCUCAGCCAGAGCAUCACAUAUUAACUUCUCAGAGGGGUUUUAUUUUUAAAUAGGCCAACAUGACAGUGGGCAGACUGACAGGUGGUACGCCUGCAAGCUUGACGCUGAUGGAGAGCCACAGACGAUGGUCAGGCAGGUGACAAGUUCAGUCCUACUGUCAGCACUUAGGAUUUCCCCAUAGGCACACAAAUUCUGACAGCAGCUGCAGAGAGAAGAGAGACGCACACACAAACGUGCACACAUUUUGAUAUACUCUUGUAUGGAAGUGCGAUUUCAUAAAAUUUUUACAUCUUCUUUCAUUUUACCAAUUUCUAGGUUCACCUUCCGGAGGCGACUUGGUGUGUUUACGUACAUCUAUUGCAUUGCUCAUCAGUUUCAACCGUUUAUUGAGGUGUUACCUCAUGCAUUGUGUUUCAUAUCGUUUUGCAAGUCUUUGAGAAACCACCAUCUCUCUACUCUGAAAUUAUCUCAGGCUUUCCAGACACAUUUCAGGACCACUGAGCAAAGUCUCUUCCUUCGUUGCCAGUCCAUCCCCUUCCAAUCAGCUCAGAGUCUGUGCUUUAGAUGGACAAACACUGAUGUGCAAUUUUAAUUAAAGCGAGAUCAAGUGCCAAUGUCUGUGCAAACACACAGGUGUUUUUUUAUUAUUAUUAUUAUUAUUAUUUUAUUUUAUUUUACAGUCAUUUCAGAAUGUGUAAAAACUUUUUACAAAAAGGAUUUUGUGUAAAUUGUGUGUUAUCAUAUCAAUAGUUGGUUUCUUCUGUAAUGUGACUUAUUUCCAAAUAAGUGAAACGGAUAUUCAGUGAGGGCAGGAAUUGAUCUGAUGGUGAAAUUGAGCUUUAAGUACCAGAAUGUAGCCAGACUAAAUGCUAGUUUGCUAAAACAACACCUAAAUAGCUAUUUGACUUACGGUUAAGAUUUGUAAAUAGUCUGUGUGACCUAAUAAACAGAUGAACUGUUCAAAAUAAGUCA